Molecule: ribosomal RNA, 434 nt
Filed under: uncultured bacterium
Lineage: Bacteria
Description: partial 16S ribosomal RNA
Rfam family: Bacterial small subunit ribosomal RNA
Source: RNAcentral
AGCGAACGCUGGCGGCAGGCCUAACACAUGCAAGUCGAACGAACCUUUCGGGGUUAGUGGCGGACGGGUGAGUAACACGUGGGAACGUGCCUUUAGGUUCGGAAUAACUCAGGGAAACUUGUGCUAAUACCGAAUGUGCCCUUCGGGGGAAAGAUUAAUCGCCUUUAGAGCGGCCCGCGUCUGAUUAGCUAGUUGGUUGAGGUAAUGGCUCACCCAGGCGACGAUCAGUAGCUGGUCUGAGAGGAUGAUCAGCCACAUUGGGACUGAGACACGGCCCAAACUCCUACGGGAGGCGGCAGUGGGGGAUCUUGCGCAAUGGGCGAAAGCCUGACGCAGCCAUGCCGCGUGAAUGAUGAAGUUCGGAGGAUUGUAAAAUUCUUUCACCGGGGACGAUAAUGACGGUACCCGGAGAAGAAGCCCCGGCUAACUUCGUG